RNAcentral lists this ribosomal RNA (554 nucleotides) under Scrippsiella trochoidea. Its description in RNAcentral is "partial Bacterial large subunit ribosomal RNA". It matches the Rfam family "Bacterial large subunit ribosomal RNA", at positions 247 to 858 of the family's 2925-position model. Lineage: Eukaryota; Dinophyceae; Peridiniales; Peridiniaceae. The record is from RNAcentral.
CGGCGAGCGAACGGGGACCAGCCAAGCCAUGAGAGUGAAUAGAAUGUGCUGGAAAGCACAGCCAUAGCGGGUGACAGCCCCGUAUAUGAAGCUCGAUUGGAUGUAUUAAGUAGGGCGGGACACGUGAAAUCCUGUCUGAAGAUCGGAGGACCACCUUCGAAGGCUAAGUACUCCUUACUGACCGAUAGCGAACCAGUACCGUGAGGGAAAGGUGAAAAGCACCCCGACGAGGGGAGUGAAACAGUUUCUGAAACCGGACGCCUACAAGCAGUCGGAGCCUCCUUGAGAGGUGACGGCGUACCUUUUGUAUAAUGGGUCAUCGACUUGGUCUAUCUAGCAAGCUUAAGCCGUUAGGUGUAGGCGCAGCGAAAGCGAGUCUUAAUAGGGCGCAUGAGUUAGAUGGAUCAGACCCGAAACCGAGUGAUCUAGGCAUGAUCAGGAUGAAGGUAAGGUAACACUUACUGGAGGUCCGAACCCACACCUGUUGAAAAAGGUCGGGAUGAAUUGUGCCUAGGGGUGAAAGGCCAAUCAAACUCGGAGAUAGCUGGUUCUCC